RNAcentral lists this ribosomal RNA (587 nucleotides) under uncultured bacterium. RNAcentral's name for it is "partial 16S ribosomal RNA". It matches the Rfam family "Bacterial small subunit ribosomal RNA", at positions 355 to 938 of the family's 1533-position model. The record is from RNAcentral.
UGGGGAAUUUUGGACAAUGGGCGAAAGCCUGAUCCAGCAAUGCCGCGUGUGUGAAGAAGGCCUUCGGGUUGUAAAGCACUUUUGUCCGGAAAGAAAUCCUUGGCUCUAAUGCAGUCGGGGGAUGACGGUACCGGAAGAAUAAGCACCGGCUAACUACGUGCCAGCAGCCGCGGUAAUACGUAGGGUGCAAGCGUUAAUCGGAAUUACUGGGCGUAAAGCGUGCGCAGGCGGUUUGCUAAGACCGAUGUGAAAUCCCCGGGCUCAACCUGGGAACUGCAUUGGUGACUGGCAGGCUAGAGUAUGGCAGAGGGGGGUAGAAUUCCACGUGUAGCAGUGAAAUGCGUAGAGAUGUGGAGGAAUACCGAUGGCGAAGGCAGCCCCUGGGCCAAUACUGACGCUCAUGCACGAAAGCGUGGGGAGCAAACAGGAUUAGAUACCCUGGUAGUCCACGCCCUAAAACGAUGUCAACUAGUUGUUGGGGAUUCAUUUCCUUAGUAACGUAGCUAACGCGUGAAGUUGACCGCCUGGGGAGUACGGUCGCAAAAAUUUAAAACUUAAAGGAAUUGACGGGGUCAUAGCUGUUUCUU